This 392-nucleotide ribosomal RNA is filed under the name Trachemys gaigeae. Its description in RNAcentral is "partial 12S ribosomal RNA". It matches the Rfam family "Bacterial small subunit ribosomal RNA", at positions 796 to 1384 of the family's 1533-position model. Lineage: Eukaryota; Metazoa; Chordata; Testudines; Emydidae. The record is from RNAcentral.
UUAGCCCUAAACCUAGAUAUUUAUAUACAAAAAUAUCCGCCAGAGAAUUACGAGCAAAACGCUUAAAACUCUAAGGACUUGGCGGUGCCUCAAACCCACCUAGAGGAGCCUGUUCUAUAAUCGAUAACCCACGAUCCACCUCACCAUCUCUUGCCAACCAGCCUAUAUACCACCGUCGCCAGCUUACCCUGUGAAGAUACAAAAGUAAGCAAGAUAAUAUAAACCAUUAACAAGUCAGGUCAAGGUGUAGCUAACUGAGAUGGAAGAAAUGGGCUACAUUUUCUAUACUAGAAAUAACACUCACGGAAAGGAACCAUGAAACAGUCCAGCAAGUAGGAUUUAGCAGUAAACUGGGAACAGAGAGCCCAAUUUAAACCGGUCCUGAGGCGCGC